UAGGGAAUCUUCCGCAAUGGACGAAAGUCUGACGGAGCAACGCCGCGUGAGUGAAGAAGGAUUUCGGUUCGUAAAACUCUGUUGUUAGGGAAGAAAAAAUGUAUAGUAACUAUAUACAAAAGAGACGGUACCUAACCAGAAAGCCACGGCUAACUACGUGCCAGCAGCCGCGGUAAUACGUAGGUCCCGAGCGUUGUCCGGAUUUAUUGGGCGUAAAGCGAGCGCAGGCGGUUAGAAAAGUCUGAAGUGAAAGGCAGUGGCUCAACCAUUGUAGGCUUUGGAAACUGUUUAACUUGAGUGCAGAAGGGGAGAGUGGAAUUCCAUGUGUAGCGGUGAAAUGCGUAGAUAUAUGGAGGAACACCGGUGGCGAAAGCGGCUUUUUGGCCUGCAACUGACACUGAGGCGCGAAAGCGUGGGGAGCAAACAGG
Molecule: ribosomal RNA, 428 nt
Filed under: Verrucomicrobiota bacterium
Lineage: Bacteria; Pseudomonadati; Verrucomicrobiota
Description: Verrucomicrobia bacterium partial 16S ribosomal RNA
Rfam family: Bacterial small subunit ribosomal RNA
Source: RNAcentral